RNAcentral lists this non-coding RNA (21 nucleotides) under Caenorhabditis elegans. The record is from RNAcentral. Lineage: Eukaryota; Metazoa; Nematoda; Chromadorea; Rhabditida; Rhabditidae.
UGUAUUUUUCCAGUUCUUGGA